GCUCCUAGUACGAGAGGACCGGAGUGGACGCAUCACUGGUGUUCGGGUUGUCAUGCCAAUGGCACUGCCCGGUAGCUAAAUGCGGAAGAGAUAAGUGCUGAAAGCAUCUAAGCACGAAACUUGCCCCGAGAUGAGUUCUCCCUGACUCCUUGAGAGUCCUGAAGGAACGUUGAAGACGACGACGUUGAUAGGCCGGGUGUGUAAGCGCAGCGAUGCGUUGAGCUAACCGGUACUAAUGAACCGUGAGG
This 248-nucleotide ribosomal RNA is filed under the name Escherichia coli. Its description in RNAcentral is "partial 23S ribosomal RNA". It matches the Rfam family "Bacterial large subunit ribosomal RNA", at positions 2674 to 2912 of the family's 2925-position model. The record is from RNAcentral. Lineage: Bacteria; Pseudomonadati; Pseudomonadota; Gammaproteobacteria; Enterobacterales; Enterobacteriaceae.